Molecule: long non-coding RNA, 190 nt
Organism: Sphaerodactylus townsendi
Lineage: Eukaryota; Metazoa; Chordata; Lepidosauria; Squamata; Sphaerodactylidae
Exons: 5
Source: RefSeq, a predicted model, not a curated record
ACCUAUCUCAUAGCUAGGGGGGUAAAGAAUAGUCGGGGAAAGCAAUGGCAAACUACCCCACAAAAACGGCUUGCCUAUAAAACCACUGCUUGCAGCAGUAUCCCAGGGUCGGAUAAGACUGAAGGGGAAACUUUACCUUUAUUAGAUGAAGCUACUUGGGAUGGGUGGAGGAUGAUGAUUCCUGCUUACU